RNAcentral lists this ribosomal RNA (253 nucleotides) under uncultured bacterium. Its description in RNAcentral is "partial 16S ribosomal RNA". It matches the Rfam family "Bacterial small subunit ribosomal RNA", at positions 524 to 776 of the family's 1533-position model. The record is from RNAcentral.
GACAGAGGGUGCAACCGUUGUUCGGAAUUACUGGGCGUAAAGGGCGCGUAGGCGGCGUGUUAAGUCACUUGUGAAAUCUCUAAGCUUAACUUAGAACGGUCAAGUGAUACUGAUGUGCUAGAGUGCAGAAGGGGCAACCGGAAUUCUUGGUGUAGCGGUGAAAUGCGUAGAUAUCAAGAGGAACACCUGAGGUGAAGACGGGUUGCUGGGCUGACACUGACGCUGAGGCGCGAAAGCUAGGGUAGCAAACGGG